Molecule: ribosomal RNA, 253 nt
Filed under: uncultured bacterium
Lineage: Bacteria
Description: partial 16S ribosomal RNA
Rfam family: Bacterial small subunit ribosomal RNA
Source: RNAcentral
UACGAAGGUCCCAAGCGUUGUUCGGAAUCACUGGGCGUAAAGGGUGCGUAGGCGGCGCGGAAAGUCAGAUGUGAAAGCCCCGGGCUCAACCCGGGAACUGCAUCCGAUACUCCCGCGCUAGAGGAUUGGAGAGGAGUCUGGAAUUCACGGUGUAGCAGUGAAAUGCGUAGAUAUCGCGAGGAACACUCGUGGCGAAGGCGAGACUCUGGACAAUUCCUGACGCUGAGGCACGAAGUCCGGGGGAGCAAACAGG